UGGACCGGGCCUUGCCCUCGGCCACACCUCGAACCAUCACCCUUCCUUCGAUGUUCAAAGUUCAAACACCAGCUUCACCACAGCCAACGGUACCAAAAAUAGCAGGAUGCUUGCGUGCGUUUUCUUCUCUAAAUAUCCGCAAAUGCUAUCACGCUCUCGCUUCAUAAAUCCACGGCGGUCUCUUCUUCAGCUAUUCACCGCCGCUCAUCGCUUCUCCAAGAAACUAAAUUUCUCCUCCUCUCCCGCUCCAGAGGUACUGUUAAAUCAUCUAGACGAGGAAUGCGUUGAUUUUUUGCCGUGGUUGGAAAGGAAAGCUGGAGUCGAAAUUUCUUCAAAGCUUUACGUUGGCAAAUCCGCGUACGGCAGGUCACUGUUUGCUUCUAAAAGCAUACAAACUGGAGAAUGCAUAAUGAGAGUCCCAUACAACGUGCAAAUAGCACCAGAUAAUCUACUUCCGAAAGUUGCAUCUUUGUUAGACAAUGAAGUUGGCAAUGUUGCAAAGCUUGCUAUUGUCAUUUUGAUUGAGCAGAAAAGAGGGCAGGAAUCGGAGUGGGCCCCUUAUAUCAGCUGCCUACCUUGGCCUAGAGAAAUGCAUAGCACGAUAUUUUGGAGCAAAAGUGAGUUGGACAUGAUUCAUCAAAGCACAGUAUACCAAGAAACAAUCAAAGAAAAAUAUCAAAUCGAAAAGGAUUUCUUGAAAAUUAAAUCAGCUCUCGAUCACUCCCCAGAAAUUUUAGAUGGUAUCACACUUGAGGAUUUCAUGCAUGCAUAUGCUUUAGUUAGAUCUCGAGCAUGGGGAAGCACAAGGGGGGUAUCCCUGAUUCCAUUUGCAGACUUUUCAAACCACGAUGGGGUUUCUGAAGCAUUCGUAUUAAAUGAUGAAGACAAACAGGUCUCAGAGGUCAUUGCUGAUCGUAAUUUUGCUCCUCAUGAAGAGGUGCUGAUCAGAUAUGGAAAAUUUUCAAAUGCUACCUUGCUGUUGGAAUUCGGAUUUAUAGUUCCACACAACAUCCAUGACCAGGUCCAGAUUCACAUUGACGUGCCCAAUCAUGAUUUUCUAGGUGAAAUGAAGUUGGAUAUUUUACGAAGGCAUCAUUUACCAACCACAAGAUAUGCUAAUGACUUCAAGUUUUCUGGGGAUUCUUUCAUAAUCAAGGAAGUGAGGUCCGCUAGAGGCAAAGGAAAAGGUCUGCCACAAUCACUACGUGCAUUUGCUCGUGUUCUUUGUUGCAACUCUUCUCAAGAUUUAAUUGAUUUGGCCAUGGAAGCUGCACAAAAUGAUGGUCGUUUAGCUCGACGCCCUUUAAAAAAUAGCAGCAGGGAGAUCCAAGCACAUGAGAUCCUGUUGUCAAGAAUCAGUCAACUUAUUGAGGAAUAUAAUGUAUCUAUGAAGGUGAACAUGCUUAUCUUCCCCUCAUUGAUUGAUUGGAGCUGCAGGUUUAAUUUUACUGUAAAGAGUCAAGAGCAGGUAUUGAAGUUUUCAAAUGGGUGAAGCAUCGGUUUUUGUCGGCUCAGCUCCCAUGGCAAUUGGUUCUUAAUACAAGUUGCCAGGAUAUUGACUGUUUCCUAACAUGUUAAUAAAAAAAAUACAUGAUAGAUAUUUGGUUGGUAAGUGGACAGUAAUCUCAUGUCGCAUGUUAUUUGCACAGCUAUUCCUUCAUCAAUUCGUUAUGCCCCUCCAUUCGUAUCCCCUUUUACAUUUUCAGCCAUUACUUGCUUGUUAUGGUAUCUGGAACAAUUUUUUUUCCUUUACGGGCUUUUUUCAUUUGUUUUAAGCCUUUUCAUGCACUGUACAGUCAUUGGAACCUGUUGCUGCUUCUGUGUGCAAAAGAUUUGCUCUUCGAAGGCAGAUGGCUCUAGAUCUCCUCACUGCAUUCCACUACCAAUGAUGAUGCCAGUGCCUGUGGGAAUAUUCGGGAAUGAACAAGUAAAUAAGAGCAGAAUGUUCAUUUUCUUCGUCACAUCCUGGUACAUGUAAAUUCAUUCAGAACUGCAAGAAGGAAAUUCAGAAAGAAACCAGUUUUUAAAGCUAGACUGACGUAGAAGUGCCCUUCCUGGGUGUUUACAAACCUGCAGCGUUAUGCCGGAAAUCCCGAUUGCAAUGAAGAUAGUGCAAAGUACAUCGGUUUUUUGCAACGUAGGAUGCCAGUAAAAUUUAGAAUCGACUUGUACUACAGCUAAGGUAAUGCUGUUGUGUCCAUAGCAAUCACAGGAUUUCGUUAGUGCUGCCCAUUUAUUACGAUAUUUGAAGCCGAAGCAUCCUGCAUUCACCCUUUUCUUUCGUUCUUUCUUUUUUGUGUGUGUAAUUAUGUGUUAGUUAUCAGAAUACAGAAUUAUUAUUGUUUCCAAACAAUUUGUUAUGUGCUGUAGGCCACCGGUAACUUGAUGACAGGUGGAACUUGGGCCUUUUUUUAAUUGAAGACCUGAACGGCAUA
RNA transcript from Populus trichocarpa (black cottonwood), 2435 nucleotides. It is a transcript of the gene named ribulose-1,5 bisphosphate carboxylase/oxygenase large subunit N-methyltransferase, chloroplastic, with no coding region annotated. NCBI's taxonomy places the organism in Eukaryota, Viridiplantae, Streptophyta, Magnoliopsida, Malpighiales, Salicaceae. The record is from RefSeq and is a predicted model, not a curated record. The transcript has 15 exons.